UAAGACAGGGGGCCCGAGCGUUAAUCGGAAUCACUGGGCUUAAAGGGUGCGUAGGCGGACCCGUAAGUGCUUCGUGAAAACCCACGGCUCAACCGUGGAAUUGCGGUGCAUACUGCGGGUCUUGAGGGAAGUAUGGGCGGACAGAACUAUCGGUGGAGCGGUGAAAUGCGUAGAUAUCGAUAGGAAUGCCGAUGGCGAAGGCGGUCCGCUGGGCUUCUCCUGACGCUCAGGCACGAAAGCGUGGGGAGCAAACAGGAUUAGAUACCCUGGUAGUCCACGCCGUAAACGAUGCGCACUAGACCGGUGCGGCUCUGACGCCGUAUCGGUCGCAGUAAAAACGUUAAGUGCGCCGCCUGGGGAGUACGGUCGCAAGGCUA
This 377-nucleotide ribosomal RNA is filed under the name uncultured bacterium. RNAcentral's name for it is "bacterial SSU rRNA". It matches the Rfam family "Bacterial small subunit ribosomal RNA", at positions 521 to 896 of the family's 1533-position model. The record is from RNAcentral.